GCUCGCUUGGUGAAAAUGGAAAACACGAUGGGUUUAAAAUCCAUUCUCAGCAUAUUUGAGUUAUUGGUUCGAGUCCAAUAGCGAGUAC
Molecule: transfer RNA, 88 nt
Filed under: Rhodogorgon sp.
Lineage: Eukaryota; Rhodophyta; Florideophyceae; Rhodogorgonales; Rhodogorgonaceae
Description: tRNA-Leu
Rfam family: tRNA
About the family: Transfer RNA (tRNA) molecules are approximately 80 nucleotides in length. Their secondary structure includes four short double-helical elements and three loops (D, anti-codon, and T loops). Further hydrogen bonds mediate the characteristic L-shaped molecular structure. tRNAs have two regions of fundamental functional importance: the anti-codon, which is responsible for specific mRNA codon recognition, and the 3' end, to which the tRNAs corresponding amino acid is attached (by aminoacyl-tRNA synthetases). tRNAs cope with the degeneracy of the genetic code in two manners: having more than one tRNA (with a specific anti-codon) for a particular amino acid; and 'wobble' base-pairing, i.e. permitting non-standard base-pairing at the 3rd anti-codon position.
Source: RNAcentral